AGUAGUUGCAAAUAGGCAAUUCUUGUUAGACUGUAAAUCUGUCGGCGAUGCCUUCGGUGGUUCGAAUCCACCCUCUUCCACCA
This 83-nucleotide transfer RNA is filed under the name Caudoviricetes sp. RNAcentral describes it as "tRNA-Tyr". Lineage: Duplodnaviria; Heunggongvirae; Uroviricota; Caudoviricetes. The record is from RNAcentral.